AUAAGGUGGAGAGCAUGUUCUGCCUUCUCCGUGCCUUUGUGCGCCACUGCAGCUCAUGCACCUGGUCCCCCUGAACAGUCGUGGGGGGAUGCAGCAUGGUGGUUUAAAGAAGCAGGCAGAUAUAACCCGCUUUUACCAAUGAAGUCUGGAUUCUUCUCAUUCAAAUUAUCUUUGGAACUAGCAUUGCAAGUCCGUGAGGUUUUCUAUCAGCGACUUCAUCUGAGGAAUGGAUUUCUGUCUUCACAGAGAUGCCAAAGCUCCUGUCAGGAGGAACAUCCAUUGUCUUGUCAGGAGGAGCAUCCAUUGUCUGUCAGAAGGAGCAUCCAUUGCCUGUCUGGAGGAGCAUCCAUUGUCUGUCAGAAGGAGCAUCCAUUGCCUGUCUGGAGGAGCAUCCAUUGUCUGUCAGAAGGAGCAUCCAUUGUCUGUCAGGAAGGAGCAUCCAUUGUCAGGAGGGGCAGCCAUGACCCUGACCAUUCUGGGUACCCUAACAACCAUAAUGUAGAAUAGCGAGGUACCACGUUGCACAUCCCAUUUGUGCUGCUCUAAGUAGGAGGGAGUUCCCAGCUGGCUGCAGAGCAGGGCCCCUUCCUCUAGUAUUUCUCUGACAGCACUUUCCCCCAAAUACAUGCUAUUUAAUGCAAGAAACCUGAAAAUACUCUGUAAAAUUUAAAAUAUUAAAUACACAUGGAAAAAU
This 694-nucleotide long non-coding RNA is filed under the name Rattus norvegicus (Norway rat). RNAcentral describes it as "long non-coding RNA NONRATT001309". The record is from RNAcentral. Lineage: Eukaryota; Metazoa; Chordata; Mammalia; Rodentia; Muridae.